Molecule: ribosomal RNA, 443 nt
Filed under: uncultured bacterium
Lineage: Bacteria
Description: partial 16S ribosomal RNA
Rfam family: Bacterial small subunit ribosomal RNA
Source: RNAcentral
CCUACGGGUGGCAGCAGUGGGGAAUAUUGGGCAAUGGGCGCAAGCCUGACCCAGCAACGCCGCGUGAAGGAAGAAGGCUUUCGGGUUGUAAACUUCUUUUCUCAGGGACGAAGAAAGUGACGGUACCUGAGGACUAAGCCACGGCUAACUACGUGCCAGCAGCCGCGGUAAUACGUAGGUGGCAAGCGUUAUCCGGAUUUACUGGGUGUAAAGGGCGUGGAGGCGGGAAAGCAGGUCAGAUGUGAAAACCAUGGGCUCAACCUGUGGCCUGCAUUUGAAACUGUUUUUCUUGAGUACUGGAGAGGCAGACGGAAUUCCUCGUGUAGCGGUGAAAUGCGUAGAUAUGAGGAGGAACACCAGUGGCGAAGGCGGUCUGCUGGACAGCAACUGACGCUGAGGCGCGAAAGCGUGGGGAGCAAACAGGAUUAGAUACCCUAGUAGUC